This is a long non-coding RNA of Harpegnathos saltator (Jerdon's jumping ant), 446 nucleotides long. RefSeq lists it as uncharacterized. The record is from RefSeq and is a predicted model, not a curated record. The transcript is spliced from 3 exons. NCBI's taxonomy places the organism in Eukaryota, Metazoa, Arthropoda, Insecta, Hymenoptera, Formicidae.
GAGCCGUGUUGUGGAAACAAGAAGGAUACGGCUGUGCCGUGCUCGGAGACAUCGAUCAGCGCUGAUUUCGCGAACGUCAUGCGCGAACCUUGAAAGCGCGAGACGAGGGCGACGAGAUAAGAGACGAGGUUCCUACCCGUCGACUGAUGAUUUCAGCGGGAUGACGGGUAUGCAACAGCUGAGCACUUAGCAUCCUGGGCCGAUGACAAGGAUGGAAGGAAAGGAAUCGUCCCCGGGGACUCAUCGGUACUUCCGCUGGCGCGGAGAUAGAGAUUCUCGCCGGAGAGAUCGCCACAGUUUGUAGAUAUCGUGUUCUCAACACUUUCGUCGGCGCGAACAUCACGAUGGUUUGUGACGAAUGUGCACGGGCUAUUUAAACUCAAUGAUAUUACGGUUCUUACCGAUGCAAUACUCAUUUUACCAUUUAAUAUUAAUUCUAAUUUAAC